CACACUCUAAUAUCUCCUUUUUGUAGAUCUCACAUUUUACUUUUUGUUUUAUUUUAGUAUAUCAGGUUGCCUUGGAAGUGAGUCUCUGCUAAACUACUCUUCUUCGGGCUGAAAGAUCUGAAUGCUGUGACCAUUAAUUUGUUGAACCAAGACUCUGAGGCUGAUAUGCAAUGUCACUUACAACAUUAAUCAGAUACUGCAUUUAAGGUGAGCUGUCCCUUGCCUCCUCCUU
Molecule: long non-coding RNA, 232 nt
Filed under: Camelus dromedarius (Arabian camel)
Lineage: Eukaryota; Metazoa; Chordata; Mammalia; Artiodactyla; Camelidae
Description: lncRNA (ENSCDRG00005008935.1)
Source: RNAcentral